This 223-nucleotide ribosomal RNA is filed under the name Escherichia coli. RNAcentral's name for it is "partial 23S ribosomal RNA". It matches the Rfam family "Bacterial large subunit ribosomal RNA", at positions 2126 to 2348 of the family's 2925-position model. The record is from RNAcentral. Lineage: Bacteria; Pseudomonadati; Pseudomonadota; Gammaproteobacteria; Enterobacterales; Enterobacteriaceae.
GAGCCUUGAUGUGUAGGAUAGGUGGGAGGCUUUGAAGUGUGGACGCCAGUCUGCAUGGAGCCGACCUUGAAAUACCACCCUUUAAUGUUUGAUGUUCUAACGUUGACCCGUAAUCCGGGUUGCGGACAGUGUCUGGUGGGUAGUUUGACUGGGGCGGUCUCCUCCUAAAGAGUAACGGAGGAGCACGAAGGUUGGCUAAUCCUGGUCGGACAUCAGGAGGUUA